UACGUAGGGUGCGAGCGUUAAUCGGAUUUACGGGGCGUAAAGCGUGCGCAGGCGGCCCGUUAAGACAGGUGUGAAAUCCCUGGGCUCAACCGAGGAAUUGCGCUUGUGACUGGCGGGCUCGAGUACGGUAGAGGGGGGUGGAAUUCCUGGUGUAGCAGUGAAAUGCGUAGAGAUCAGGAGGAACACCGAUGGCGAAGGCAGCCCCCUGGGCCUGUACUGACGCUCAUGCACGAAAGCGUGGGGAGCAAACAGG
This 253-nucleotide ribosomal RNA is filed under the name uncultured microorganism. RNAcentral describes it as "partial 16S ribosomal RNA". It matches the Rfam family "Bacterial small subunit ribosomal RNA", at positions 524 to 776 of the family's 1533-position model. The record is from RNAcentral.